Long non-coding RNA from Oncorhynchus keta (chum salmon), 402 nucleotides. RefSeq lists it as uncharacterized. Lineage: Eukaryota; Metazoa; Chordata; Actinopteri; Salmoniformes; Salmonidae. The transcript has 2 exons. The record is from RefSeq and is a predicted model, not a curated record.
CUGUGGUUCAGUAGUUGUUUUGGAUAGCAAGCAUGCUAUCUAUAGCUGAUAUUUUGCAUUGGAUUAUUCUUAUUUCCAUUUGAUAAAGAUUUUUAUGGUAUAUUAUGUCAAGUCGUCACCCGUAGAACGGUUGGAGUGUGUUACUACGAACAAGCAAGGUCCUCUUCUGAUGAAGGGCAUCCUAGCCAACCAAGUCUCUUCUGAGUCUCACCCUCAUAUCUGACUGCUUCAUCAUUGGAGUCAUCCUACAGUAUGCAUUAUAGUCCACUGCCUUGUUACAGUCAAUUCCCUAGACACAUACACUUUGGCUUGCUCUGAAGCCAAUCAUUUGUAUUGUCCUGUAGAAAUGUUGGCUUGUGUCAGUUCUCCUCUGGUGAGAUUAAUAAAAUGGUGAUUGUCAGA